UACGGAGGGGGCAAGCGUUAUCCGGAUUUACUGGGUGUAAAGGGAGCGUAGACGGCAUAGCAAGUCUGAAGUGAAAGCCCAAGGCUCAACCAUGGGACUGCUUUGGAAACUGUUAAGCUAGAGUGCUGGAGAGGUAAGCGGAAUUCCUAGUGUAGCGGUGAAAUGCGUAGAUAUUAGGAAGAACACCAGUGGCGAAGGCGGCUUACUGGACAGUAACUGACGUUGAGGCUCGAAAGCGUGGGGAGCAAACAGG
Molecule: ribosomal RNA, 253 nt
Filed under: uncultured bacterium
Lineage: Bacteria
Description: partial 16S ribosomal RNA
Rfam family: Bacterial small subunit ribosomal RNA
Source: RNAcentral